CUGGGUUUGGGAUACACAUUUUUCAUAGACUUGCUGGAAAUCAAAAUCAUAUAAGAUUGCAGGAAAGACAACUAGAACUUCAACUUUUUAAGAGAAAAUAUUAAGGACAGUCAAACAUCUUGCACAAGGCAGUAAUAAAUUUGGACAUGUAUAUUCCCCGGCAUGACAUGAAAAGGGAAGUGGAUACCAGGAACCAGGGCCUCAUUCAUAAAUGCAGGAACAGUAAGUCCUGAGAGUGAGCUCUGUGAUACAGUCUUAAAUCACCAGAAAGUCAAAUAGUAUCAGAAUCAGUUUGAAAAAAUGUUGUAAGACACCUAUUGGCCACAUUUCACUCCUGUGAUCCAGUCUGAAAACCAAUUUCUACUACGACACCUCUGCCCACCAGGGGGAAGCACACCAGCCAAAAGCAGGCUUCCCAUUUCAAAACAGAACGAAAGGUUCUAUUUCCAAAUAGAAUGAAACGGAUUAGAUUUUAGGAAAUAAUCUAGCCCAGCCCCCGCCAUCAGAAAGGCAAAGCUUUAUUCUUCGUAUUUUUAAAUUGAGGUAGCAGAAGACCAGAGACAUACCCAAGGUCACAGACCAAAUAACUGGUAAGCAGAAACACUUGAAAAAAAAAGGAAUCAUCCCUUUGUUUCAUAUUAUAUGUAACUACUCAACUAGAGUCUUUAGACAAUUGUCUUUUACUGUGUCACUUAAAAAGACUUCAAAACUAGACGCAGUGCUUGGGCAAAUAUUAGAGCGUUAACAAUAUUUUUUAAGUAAAAUUAAUGGAACUAAAUUUAAAAUCUGAUGAUGUGAUUCUGCUGAAAUGGUUUCAAAACAUCAUUUCUUUCUUUAAAAUAAGCAGAUGAAGAGUGUCAGACCUCUUUGUUUUCCUGUUGUCUGAAAAAUUACAGGGGAUGUCAUAUCUGCACUCCAGUAAGAUAGAAGUCCACGGGCGUCUGAAAUCCACUAGCUGUGUGGUGGACAGUAGAAUGGUGGUGAAGAUCACUAAUUUUGGCUGCAAUUCCAUUUUACCUCCAAGAAAAGGUCUGUAAUGAAUGAAAUUUGUCCUAGUUUCUCACUUUUUUUAAAAAAAAUUUUUUCACAAGCCCACACGAGGCGCUCAGAAAAUGAUGACACUGCAGAAAAUAAACAGCCACAAGAGGCAACAGCUGGCUCGUUUUCCAGCACUUCACCCUUGUCGCUUUUCAACAAGUGCUUCUUGAGUUGAACAAAUUUCCUCUGUGGCUUUCCUUCAUCUAUCUGUCUCUUGAUAUCAGUGAGAAACUAUGAAGAACUUGUUGGCUUGUGGAAGCAGACC
RNAcentral lists this long non-coding RNA (1303 nucleotides) under Equus caballus (horse). Its description in RNAcentral is "lncRNA (ENSECAG00000057096.1)". The record is from RNAcentral. Lineage: Eukaryota; Metazoa; Chordata; Mammalia; Perissodactyla; Equidae.